This 76-nucleotide transfer RNA is filed under the name Ruminococcaceae bacterium FB2012. RNAcentral describes it as "tRNA_Glu_TTC". It matches the Rfam family "tRNA". Rfam says of the family: Transfer RNA (tRNA) molecules are approximately 80 nucleotides in length. Their secondary structure includes four short double-helical elements and three loops (D, anti-codon, and T loops). The record is from RNAcentral. Lineage: Bacteria; Bacillati; Bacillota; Clostridia; Eubacteriales; Oscillospiraceae.
GGCGGAUUCGUCUAAUCAGGCAGGACACAGGGCUUUCAAUCCUGUAAUGCGGGUUCGACUCCCGUAUCCGUUACCA